GAUGAACGCUGACAGAAUGCUUAACACAUGCAAGUCUACUUGAACUUCGGUUUGUGUUGCGGACGGGUGAGUAACGCGUAUAGAACUUGCCUCACAGUUAGGGACGACAUGUGGAAACGAAUGCUAAUACCUGAGAUUAUGAUGUUAGGGCAUCCUAGGAGUAUGAAAGCUAUAUUUGCUGUGAGAGAGCUUUGCGGCCCAUUAGCUAGUUGGAGAGGUAACGGCUCACCAAGGCGAGGAUGGGUAGCCGCACUGAGAGGGUGAAAGGGCACAAGGGGACUCAGACACGACCAGUGCGCAUACGUGAGGAAGGAGCGAGGAAUAUUGCAAAAUGGACCAAAAGUGUGAUCAAGGAAUUCGGUGUGUAAAAUGACGUUUUUCGGAAUGUAAAGUGCUUUCAUUUGGGAAGAAAAAAAUGACGGUACCAACAGAAGAAGUGACGGCUAACUACGUG
RNAcentral lists this ribosomal RNA (454 nucleotides) under uncultured bacterium. RNAcentral describes it as "partial 16S ribosomal RNA". It matches the Rfam family "Bacterial small subunit ribosomal RNA", at positions 28 to 507 of the family's 1533-position model. The record is from RNAcentral.